GAUGAACGCUGGCGGCGUGCCUAAUACAUGCAAGUCGAGCGAACGGACGAGAAGCUUGCUUCUCUGAUGUUAGCGGCGGACGGGUGAGUAACACGUGGAUAACCUACCUAUAAGACUGGGAUAACUUCGGGAAACCGGAGCUAGUACCGGAUGAUAUUUUGAACCGCAUGGUUCAAAAGUGAAAGACGGUCUUGCUGUCACUUAUAGAUGGAUCCGCGCUGCAUUAGCUAGUUGGUAAGGUAACGGAUUACCAAGGCAACGAUGCAUAGCCGACCUGAGAGGGUGAUCGGCCACACUGGAACUGAGACACGGUCCAGACUCCUACGGGAGGCAGCAGUAGGGAAUCUUCCGCAAUGGGCGAAAGCCUGACGGAGCAACGCCGCGUGAGUGAUGAAGGUCUUCGGAUCGUAAAACUCUGUUAUUAGGGAAGAACAUAUGUGUAAGUAACUGUGCACAUCUUGACGGUACCUAAUCAGAAAGCCACGGCUAACUACGUG
RNAcentral lists this ribosomal RNA (497 nucleotides) under uncultured bacterium. RNAcentral's name for it is "partial 16S ribosomal RNA". It matches the Rfam family "Bacterial small subunit ribosomal RNA", at positions 28 to 507 of the family's 1533-position model. The record is from RNAcentral.